AAUUAUUACAUUUAUAUUCUUUCCAUGCAUUUAUAUUAACUCUAUUGUCCUUUCGAUUACGCAGUAAGAUUCCAUCACUGGCCAGGAGCCCGGAUCAGUAGACUUCUAUAGAGGGACUCACUGUCGGCAGGCAACAGGAUCUUGGGUACAUCCUAGAGCCAGCGAGAUUUCGGAGGAGAUGGACACCUUACGCAGUCAGCCCACUCCCGAUGGUACUUAGCAGAGUGAGCCAGAGAUUCUGAGUUAGGUGUUUGGCACCCGUUAUGGAUAUGUGUGUGGGUUUGGCCAUGGUGCCAAGCUCAUGGCACCCACUAGAGCUACCUCCAGCUGAUCCAUCAUCGUUGGCAACAGCGCCGUACACCGAGCUGAUACAGUAGAGAGAGAGAAGUUCAACAGCUACGGGUCGUCGUCGAUGACAUCAAAGAUCAGCUGAACAGGUAGAGGGAGGAGCAGGAGAGGAGGAUGGAGGAGAUGCAGGUGGAGCAUCAGCGAUGGAUGACGGAGAUGUUUCAGGCUUUCACUACAAGCUUACCCACCGAUGCCCCACCACCUCCGCCUUCAUCUUUGUGAUUUUUUAUAUAUUUGUUUAUGAUGUUAAGUUUAUAUGCAUUUAUGCGUGAAUGAAUGUGAUGUGGAUAAGAUUGUUUGUGUUUGGAUGAAUGUAGUUUAUAUUUGGAUGGAUUUACUA
Magnolia sinica is the source of this 688-nucleotide long non-coding RNA. RefSeq lists it as uncharacterized. The transcript has 3 exons. The record is from RefSeq and is a predicted model, not a curated record. Lineage: Eukaryota; Viridiplantae; Streptophyta; Magnoliopsida; Magnoliales; Magnoliaceae.